GAUGAAGAACGCAGCAAAAUGCGAUAAGUAAUGUGAAUUGCAGAAUUCAGUGAAUCAUCGAAUCUUUGAACGCACAUUGCGCCCGCUGGUAUUCCGGCGGGCAUGCCUGUUCGAGCGUCAUUUCAACCCUCAAGCCCCCGGGUUUGGUGUUGGGGAACGGCUCUGCCCUUCUGGGCGGUGCCGCCCCCGAAAUACAUUGGCGGUCUCGCUGCAGCCUCCAUUGCGUAGUAGCUAACACCUCGCAACUGGAACGCGGCGCGGCCAUGCCGUAAAACCCCAACUUCUGAAUGUUGACCUCGGAUCAGGUAGGAAUACCCGCUGAACUUAAGCAUAUCAAUAAGCGGAGGA
Molecule: unclassified non-coding RNA, 348 nt
Filed under: soil metagenome
Description: partial contains 5.8S ribosomal RNA, internal transcribed spacer 2, and large subunit ribosomal RNA
Rfam family: 5.8S ribosomal RNA (bases 1-120)
Source: RNAcentral